This 537-nucleotide ribosomal RNA is filed under the name uncultured bacterium. Its description in RNAcentral is "bacterial SSU rRNA". It matches the Rfam family "Bacterial small subunit ribosomal RNA", at positions 8 to 523 of the family's 1533-position model. The record is from RNAcentral.
AGAGUUUGAUCCUGGCUCAGAACGAACGCUGGCGGCGUGCUUAACACAUGCAAGUCGAACGGGAUCCAGAGCUUGCUCUGGUGAGAGUGGCGCACGGGUGAGUAACGCGUGGAUAACCUGCCCUGGUAUCCGGAAUAACAUCUCGAAAGGGGUGCUAAUACCGGAUAAGCCUACGGAGCCCUCGGUCUCUGCAGGAAAAGGUGGCCUCUAUUUACAAGCUACCGUAUCAGGAUGGGUCCGCGUACCAUUAGCUAGUUGGUGGGGUAAUGGCCUACCAAGGCGACGAUGGUUAGCUGGUCUGAGAGGAUGAUCAGCCACACUGGAACUGAGACACGGUCCAGACUCCUACGGGAGGCAGCAGUGGGGAAUUUUGCGCAAUGGGGGAAACCCUGACGCAGCAACGCCGCGUGAGUGAUGAAGGCUUUCGGGUCGUAAAGCUCUGUCAGAGGGGAAGAAAUGAGAUUGGCUAAUAUCCAAUUUUCUUGACGGUACCCUCAAAGGAAGCACCGGCUAACUCCGUGCCAGCAGCCGCGGUAA